AAUAUAGUGACCGAGUUAAGGUGUUAGUCUCUUAAAUUAAUUAUGAGAUAUAUAGUUAAGUUA
This 63-nucleotide transfer RNA is filed under the name Cheiracanthium triviale. Its description in RNAcentral is "tRNA-Lys". Lineage: Eukaryota; Metazoa; Arthropoda; Arachnida; Araneae; Cheiracanthiidae. The record is from RNAcentral.